This is a long non-coding RNA of Homo sapiens (human), 1989 nucleotides long. Ensembl annotates it as GUSB pseudogene 5. Its record names the gene GUSBP5. Lineage: Eukaryota; Metazoa; Chordata; Mammalia; Primates; Hominidae. The record is from Ensembl.
AGAGGAGCGGAAAGCAUGGUCCGGGGGGCGGCGGACGCCUGGUAGGCGCUCGGGCCGUUGUUGUGGGGCUGCGCGCUGGCGCUGCAGGGCGGGAUGCUGUACCCAAGAGAGAGGCCGUCGCGGGAGCGGAAGAAGCUGGACCGCCUCUGGAGCUUCCGCGCCGACUUCUUCGACAAACUGUGCCUUGGCUUCUAGGAGUAGUGGUAUCGGCGUCUGCUGCGAGAGUCGGGCUCCACCAUGGACAUACCGGUUCCCUCCAGCUUCAACGACGUUGGCCAGGACUGGCGGCUGCGGCAUUUUGUAGACCAGAUGUGGUACGAACGGGAGGUGACCUUCCUGGAGCAAUGGACCCAGGACCUGCACACAAGAGUGGUACUGAGGAUUGUCAGUGCCCACUCCUAUGCCAUCGUGUGGGUGAAUGGGGUCGACGCGCUAGAGCAUGAGGGAUCUACCUCCCCUUUGACACCGACAUCAGUAGCCUGUUCCAGGUGGGGCCCCUGCCCUCCCGCCUCCGCAUCACUAUCACCAUCGGCAACAUGCUCAUCUCCUCCACCCUGCCACCAGGGAGCAUCCUCGACAUGGCCGACACCUCCACGUGGGUACCAUCCUGCUUCCACCGCAGACACCCACCUUCCUGUCCCACCCCGUGGGGCAUUACAUUAGGGUAAUUACAUUAGGUAAGUCACAUAUCAGUGACUUACAAAUUUUGUAAGUAAUUAAGAAAUUUUCAAUAAGUGUGGAGCUGAAUAUUUACAUGAGCCCUUCAAAAACUGAUAGUUAAUGGAAUAAAUGAAAAUAACAGGAGAGACUUUGUUGAAAGAAGACAAAAUAGUCAAGGAAGUGAUAGAGGAUACAAAAGAAAGAUGAAAACUUACAUUCAUUUAAUGUCUAACCGUGUGCCAAAAGACAAUAUUAUUAUUUAGUUUUCAUAACCACAACAUUUGGUGGAUAUGAUUGCUUCCAUUAUAUAGGUUAGGAAAGUAAAGCUUAGGGGUUUGUGAACCCACUAGUUUAAAGUUGUGUAGCCAAUAGGUGGUUGAGUGAGAAUUCAAAACUGGAACAGAUUUGCUUGAUCCAGAAUGGUAUAACUUUAUUGUCCAUGCAUUGUCUUCUACAUUUUACUGCCUGUAAAGUGGGAGUCAGUUAUGGGAGGAGACCCAGAAUGUCACAGGUUUUGAAAGCUGCUGUGGAAAAUUUGGAAGGAGGCAUUGGAUUUAAUGACUGAUACAGGUCAGUGCAGAUUGACCUUGGAGAGAACAGUUUUCUUCAGUGGCAUGGUAGUGUUCAAAACAGGAUCUGAUGGUAAAGAAAAUGUAGAACCAGUGUGUGUAGACUCCUUGAUGGAAAAGUUUAUUUGUAAAAUAUCAGAGGAAAAUUAUAAUAUAGAUUUGUCCAUUCAAACCCCAAAGUCCAGAUUCUUACUGCAAUAUUUGAUGUAGCCAAUAUACAGCAGUUGAGUUCAAUUUUGGCCCCUGUUUAUGUGUAUGCUAAAGAAAAAUAACAAUCCUAAGCCUAUGCCACUUAAACAAGAGGAUGUGAUUAUACUAUGAAACACUUGUGACCAUAGGAAUAUAGCAGUGCUAAGGCAAAAUAGGUCUUAACUUGACUUUUCCUGUCAUUUGCUGCCAUUGUUUGCCAAAGGUCUAGCACCUAUCUUCAGAGGAAAGUCAAGAAAUUAGUGCUCAGAUGGUGGGAUGAAUUCCUGAAUUAUUGUUGGCUCUAGUAGUUUCUUCAGAUCAAUUUUAUAGUUUCUUUAGAACUAGAAAAUUAGGUCUCAGAAUGGCAGUUGGCCACCCAAUGUGUAUAAUACAAUUACUCAACCAGCUGCUUGAAAGCAAGGGGCAACAGAGAAGUCAGCUACUGGCUCAGGCAACAGGAAAUUUGAUGAUACUCCUUGGUCAAAUCCUUCAUUUAACAUACAUUUAUAUAGAACCUUUCUGUAUCAGGCACCAUUCUAGGUACCACAGAUAAAACAAUAAAGAGAACUGA